GUCGGUUAUGGUGACAUGACACCAAUCGGUGUUUGGGGGAAAAUUGUUGGCUCACUAUGUGCAAUUGCUGGCGUAUUAACAAUUUCUCUUCCCGUGCCUGUCAUUGUUAGUAAU
Clunio marinus is the source of this 114-nucleotide regulatory RNA element. It matches the Rfam family "Potassium channel RNA editing signal". From Rfam's summary of the family: This family represents a group of sequences related to the human potassium channel Kv1.1 hairpin element which directs the efficient modification of an adenosine to inosine by an adenosine deaminase acting on RNA (ADAR). The ADAR modification causes an isoleucine/valine recoding event which lies in the ion-conducting pore of the potassium channel. Lineage: Eukaryota; Metazoa; Arthropoda; Insecta; Diptera; Chironomidae. The record is from Rfam.